This 204-nucleotide long non-coding RNA is filed under the name Lathyrus oleraceus (garden pea). Its description in RNAcentral is "Pisum sativum (pea) long non-coding RNA (PSAT_LNC036307)". The record is from RNAcentral. Lineage: Eukaryota; Viridiplantae; Streptophyta; Magnoliopsida; Fabales; Fabaceae.
UUUUUUAAAGAUCAAUCAAUUAAAUGAAAAAACAAAUAAAAAAAGAAAAUAGAAUUAAUAUUUAAUUAAAGCUGGAGUGGCAUUUUUGAAAAUAUGUGGAACUUUGCCAAAACGGCGCCGUUUCAGGCGCGGAAACGAAAUGUUUCCAUUGGCUGGAAGCGGCGCCAAACAAGUUUUCAAACGGCUAAGGCAAAUUGAAAGAUC